RNAcentral lists this ribosomal RNA (1515 nucleotides) under metagenome. RNAcentral's name for it is "bacterial SSU rRNA". It matches the Rfam family "Bacterial small subunit ribosomal RNA". The record is from RNAcentral.
AGAAUUUGAUCCUGGUUCAGAUUGAAUGCUGACAGCGUGGAUGAGGCAUGCAAGUCGAACGAGGCUAAGAGGCAUUUUUUGUCGAUUGGCCUAGUGGCGAAAGGGUUAGUAAUACAUGGGUCAUCUACCUCUCACACUGGGAUAACGUUUGGAAACGGACGCUAAUACCGGAUGUGGUGAAGAUGAGCGAGCUCGUAUUUAUUAAAGAGGGGGACCGUAAGGCCUCUUGGUGAGAGAAGAGCCCAUGGGAUAUCAGCUAGUUGGAGUGGUAAAGGCACACCAAGGCGAAGACGUCUAGGCGGAUUGAGAGAUUGACCGCCAACACUGGGACUGAGACACUGCCCAGACUUCUACGGAAGGCUGCAGUCGAGAAUCAUUCGCAAUGGGCGAAAGCCUGACGAUGCGACGCUGUGUGAACGAAGAAGGCCUUCGGGUUGUAAAGUUCUUUCGCGUGGGAACAAUGGAAGUUGGUGUAUAACCAACUGACAUGAGGGUACCAGGUAAAGAAGCACCGGCUAACUCCGUGCCAGCAGCUGCGGUAAUACGGAGGGUGCGAGCAUUAAUCGGAUUUAUUGGGCGUAAAGGGCGCGUAGGCGGGAAGACAAGUCAGAUGUGAAAUACCGGGGCUCAACUCCGGGGCUGCAUAUGAUACUGUUUUUCUAGAGGAUAGACGGAGGAAAUGGAAUUCCACAAGUAGCGGUGAAAUGCGUAGAUAUGUGGAAGAACACCGGUGGCGAAGGCGAUUUUCUAGUUUAGACCUGACGCUAAGGCGCGAAAGCAAGGGGAGCGAACAGGAUUAGAUACCCUGGUAGUCCUUGCCGUAAACGAUGCAUACUUGGUGUAGCUGGACUCAACCCCGGCUGUGCCGGAGCUAACGUGUUAAGUAUGCCGCCUGGGGAGUACACUCGCAAGGGUGAAACUCAAAAGAAUUGACGGGGACCCGCACAAGCAGUGGAGCAUGUGGUUUAAUUCGAUGCAACGCGAAGAACCUUACCCAGGCUUGACAUGCAGUGGACAGCACCAGAAAUGGUGCCUCCUUCGGGCCGCUGCACAGGUGCUGCAUGGCUGUCGUCAGCUCGUGCCGUGAGGUGUUGGGUUAAGUCCCGCAACGAGCGCAACCCUUAUCGUUAGUUGCCAGCACGUAAUGGUGGGAACUCUAACGAGACUGCCUCGGUUAACGAGGAGGAAGGUGAGGAUGACGUCAAGUCCGCAUGGCCCUUAUGUCUGGGGCUACACACGUGCUACAAUGGCCGGUACAGAAGGCGGCAAAACCGUGAGGUGGAGCAAAUCCCAAAAACCGGUCCCAGUUCGGAUUGAAGUCUGCAACUCGACUUCAUGAAGUUGGAAUUGCUAGUAAUGGCGUGUCAGCAACAACGCCGUGAAUACGUUCCCGGGUCUUGUACACACCGCCCGUCACAUCAUGGGAAUUGGUUUUACCCGAAGUCGCUGACUUAACCGCAAGGGAAGAGGCGCCAAAGGUAAGGCUGGUGACUAGGAUGAAGUCGUAGCAAGGUA